Molecule: vault RNA, 99 nt
Filed under: Strigamia maritima
Lineage: Eukaryota; Metazoa; Arthropoda; Chilopoda; Geophilomorpha; Linotaeniidae
Rfam family: Vault RNA
About the family: This family of RNAs are found as part of the enigmatic vault ribonucleoprotein complex. The complex consists of a major vault protein (MVP), two minor vault proteins (VPARP and TEP1), and several small untranslated RNA molecules.
Source: Rfam by way of RNAcentral
GGACAGGCGUAGCCAUGUGGAUACUUCGUGAACAAUUAUUAUUAUUAUUAUCCUUGGUUGGAACCUCGGAUGAAUCCACUAGCACUGUCCUGUCUUUUG